This is a long non-coding RNA of Hippocampus zosterae (dwarf seahorse), 207 nucleotides long. RefSeq lists it as uncharacterized. The record is from RefSeq and is a predicted model, not a curated record. The transcript has 2 exons. Lineage: Eukaryota; Metazoa; Chordata; Actinopteri; Syngnathiformes; Syngnathidae.
ACAACCAUUCACACUCACACUCACACCUAGGGACAAUUUAGAGUGUUCAAUCAGCCUGCCACGCAUGUUUUUGGAAUGUGGGAGGAAACCGGAGCACCCGGAGAAAACCCACGCAGGCCCGGGGAGAACAUGCAAACUCCACACAGGGAGGCCGGAGCUGGAAUCGAACCCGGUACCUCAGCACUGUGAAGCCGACGUGCUAACCAC